UAUGGUCAAGUGAAGAAGCGCAUACGGUGGAUGCCUUGGCAGUCAGAGGCGAUGAAAGACGUGGUAGCCUGCGAAAAGCUUCGGGGAGUCGGCAAACAGACUUUGAUCCGGAGAUGUCUGAAUGGGGGAACCCACCUAACAUAAGUUAGGUAUCUUAAGCUGAAUACAUAGGCUUAAGAAGCGAACCAGGGGAACUGAAACAUCUAAGUACCCUGAGGAAAAGAAAUCAACCGAGAUUCCCUUAGUAGUGGCGAGCGAACGGGGACCAGCCUUAAGCUGUAUUGAAUGUUAGCGGAACGCUCUGGAAAGUGCGGCCAUAGUGGGUGAUAGCCCUGUACGCGAAAACAUCUUUGCAGUGAAAUCGAGUAGGACGGAGCACGAGAAACUUUGUCUGAAUAUGGGGGGACCAUCCUCCAAGGCUAAAUACUACUGACUGACCGAUAGUGAACUAGUACCGUGAGGGAAAGGCGAAAAGAACCCCGGAGAGGGGAGUGAAAUAGAUCCUGAAACCGUAUGCGUACAAGCAGUGGGAGCCCACUUUGUUGGGUGACUGCGUACCUUUUGUAUAAUGGGUCAGCGACUUAUUUUCAGUGGCAAGCUUAACCGAAUAGGGGAGGCGUAGCGAAAGCGAGUCUUAAUAGGGCGUCUAGUCGCUGGGAAUAGACCCGAAACCGGGCGAUCUAUCCAUGGGCAGGUUGAAGGUUGGGUAACACUAACUGGAGGACCGAACCGACUACCGUUGAAAAGUUAGCGGAUGACCUGUGGAUCGGAGUGAAAGGCUAAUCAAGCUCGGAGAUAGCUGGUUCUCCUCGAAAGCUAUUUAGGUAGCGCCUCAUGUAUCACUGUAGGGGGUAGAGCACUGUUUCGGCUAGGGGGUCAUCCCGACUUACCAAACCGAUGCAAACUCCGAAUACCUACAAGUGCCGAGCAUGGGAGACACACGGCGGGUGCUAACGUCCGUCGUGAAAAGGGAAACAACCCAGACCGUCAGCUAAGGUCCCAAAGUUAUGGUUAAGUGGGAAACGAUGUGGGAAGGCUUAGACAGCUAGGAGGUUGGCUUAGAAGCAGCCACCCUUUAAAGAAAGCGUAAUAGCUCACUAGUCGAGUCGGCCUGCGCGGAAGAUUUACGGGCUCAAAUACACCGAAGCUACGGUAUAUCUUAGGUGAUGCGGUAGAGGAGCGUUCUGUAAGCCUGUGAAGGUGAGUUGAGAAGCUUGCUGGAGGUAUCAGAAGUGCGAAUGCUGACAUGAGUAACGAUAAUGGGUGUGAAAAAACACCCACGCCGAAAGACCAAGGUUUCCUGCGCAACGUUAAUCGACGCAGGGUUAGUCGGUCCCUAAGGCGAGGCUGAAAAGCGUAGUCGAUGGAAAACAGGUUAAUAUUCCUGUACUUCUGGUUAUUGCGAUGGAGGGACGGAGAAGGCUAGGCCAGCUUGGCGUUGGUUGUCCAAGUUUAAGGUGGUAGGCUGGAAUCUUAGGUAAAUCCGGGAUUCUAAGGCCGAGAGCUGAUGACGAGUUGUCUUUUAGACAACGAAGUGGUUGAUGCCAUGCUUCCAAGAAAAGCUUCUAAGCUUCAGGUAACCAGGAACCGUACCCCAAACCGACACAGGUGGUUGGGUAGAGAAUACCAAGGCGCUUGAGAGAACUCGGGUGAAGGAACUAGGCAAAAUGGCACCGUAACUUCGGGAGAAGGUGCGCCGGUGAGGGUGAAGCAUUUACUGCAUAAGCCCAUGCCGGUCGAAGAUACCAGGCCGCUGCGACUGUUUAUUAAAAACAGCACUCUGCAAACACGAAAGUGGACGUAUAGGGUGUGACGCCUGCCCGGUGCCGGAAGGUUAAUUGAUGGGGUUAGCUAACGCGAAGCUCUUGAUCGAAGCCCGGUAAACGGCGGCCGUAACUAUAACGGUCCUAAGGUAGCGAAAUUCCUUGUCGGGUAAGUUUCCGACCUGCACGAAUGGCGUAACGAUGGCGGCGCUGUCUCCACCCGAGACUCAGUGAAAUUGAAAUCGCUGUGAAGAUGCAGUGUAUCCGCGGCUAGACGGAAAGACCCGUGAACCUUUACUAUAGCUUUGCACUGACUUUGAAUUUGCUUGUGUAGGAUAGGUGGGAGGCUUUGAAGUGUGGACGCCAGUCUGCAUGGAGCCAACCUU
RNAcentral lists this ribosomal RNA (2149 nucleotides) under Pseudomonas psychrophila. Its description in RNAcentral is "bacterial LSU rRNA". It matches the Rfam family "Bacterial large subunit ribosomal RNA", at positions 1 to 2193 of the family's 2925-position model. The record is from RNAcentral. Lineage: Bacteria; Pseudomonadati; Pseudomonadota; Gammaproteobacteria; Pseudomonadales; Pseudomonadaceae.